RNAcentral lists this ribosomal RNA (468 nucleotides) under uncultured bacterium. RNAcentral's name for it is "partial 16S ribosomal RNA". It matches the Rfam family "Bacterial small subunit ribosomal RNA", at positions 28 to 507 of the family's 1533-position model. The record is from RNAcentral.
GAUGAACGCUGACAGAAUGCUUAACACAUGCAAGUCUACUUGAAUUUGGGUUUUUUAACUUAGAUUUGGGUGGCGGACGGGUGAGUAACGCGUAAAGAACUUGCCUCACAGCUAGGGACAACAUUUGGAAACGAAUGCUAAUACCUGAUAUUAUGAUUAUAAGGCAUCUUAGAAUUAUGAAAGCUAUAUGCGCUGUGAGAGAGCUUUGCGUCCCAUUAGCUAGUUGGAGAGGUAACGGCUCACCAAGGCGAUGAUGGGUAGCCGGCCUGAGAGGGUGAACGGCCACAAGGGGACUGAGACACGGCCCUUACUCCUACGGGAGGCAGCAGUGGGGAAUAUUGGACAAUGGACCAAGAGUCUGAUCCAGCAAUUCUGUGUGCACGAUGACGUUUUUCGGAAUGUAAAGUGCUUUCAGUUGGGAAGAAAAAAAUGACGGUACCAACAGAAGAAGAGACGGCUAAAUACGUG